RNAcentral lists this long non-coding RNA (2581 nucleotides) under Olea europaea subsp. europaea. The record is from RNAcentral. Lineage: Eukaryota; Viridiplantae; Streptophyta; Magnoliopsida; Lamiales; Oleaceae.
UUGAUGAAAGUUGAUCAUAUCACUUUCACUACUCCAAUUUCAACUUCAUGUUCUUGGAAAAGUACGAUAUAAUCAGCCAAAAUCGCACUUUUUCUCUCUCUAGUGGAUCUUCUUAAUGGCAUUUGUUCUUGAGGCUGUAGAGUUUGUUCUUCUGGAAUAAUUUGUUGACCUUGUGAGGGAGAUACAAAAAAUUUAUCUUUAACCCUUUCUUCACCCGCAAACUCGCCAUCCUCAAAGAACCGAACAUUUUCUAUCUCGAAAAUUGCCUUAGUUGUGGGAUUAUAAAACUUGUAACCCCUGGACCUGUUAGAAUAUCCAAUAAAAUAAUAAUUGAUAGUCCUUGCGUUCAAUUUCUUUUCAUUUAGCCUAUAAGGCAUUACCUCAACUGGACAUCCCCAAAUGUUGUAGGUUUCUUGCCGUCCAAAGCUUACAAGGGGUUUUAUCAGUGGCCUUAGUUGGAACUCUGUUGAGUAUAUACGCUGCAGUCUUUAAUGCUUCACCUCAAAUAGAAUGACUAAUCAAACUCCUUAUCAUGUCCUUAAGCGUUCUAUUAAAUCUCUCAACAACACCAUCCAUAGUGGGCAAACUUGACAUAGUGUACUGUGAGACGAUACCGCAUUUCUCUAGGAAUUUAGCAAAUGGCCUUGGAAAUUGUUCUCCUGAACCGUCAUAUCUGCCAGAGUAUUCACCAACGGUCAGAUCUGACACUUUUAAUCCUUUUGUCGAGUUGAUUUUCAGUUUCAGCUUCAUAGUCCUUAAACAUAUCUAGGGACUGUGAUUUUUCAUGAAUGAGAUAUACAUAAUCAUAUCUUGAAAGUCGUCUAUGAACAUUAUAAAAUAUUGUUGACCAUUCCAAGAACCCGUAAAGAAUAGUCCACAAAUAUUCGUAUCUAUAAGUUCUAAGACAUCCGAAGUUGGCUUGAAAUUUCCUUUUAUUAGUUUAUUUUUGUUUUCGCUUUACACUUCGAGUACUUACAUGCAAGAAUUUAUUAAAAGAAGCAAUUGUAUCAAUUAAAUAUAGAUUAUCGUAACCUGAUAAAGAACCAGAACCAACUAAUUUUGAAUCAUGAAACAAACUGAAUUUUUCAUUUUCAAAUGAACAAGAAUAACUGGAUUUGUCCAAAGCAGAAAUGGAAAUCAAAUUUUGUAGAUAAGACGGUACAAUAAAUGUUUCAUCAAGAUCCAAAUAAAUCCAGUCUUUAAUAAUAAUGUAAAUUUUCCAAUUGCCUCUACUUUCACCGUCAUGCCGAACCAACAUAGAUGUAUAUUUCACCAUCACUUGGUUUUCGACAACUCAAGCAAUCUUGCACAGAUACACUGAUGUGAGUUGUACUAGAAUAUAUCCACCAUAUAUGUUUAGGUACCGAAGUUAAAUUAACCUUAAAACAAACCAAUCGAAGAAGAAUACCUUUCAUCACAUGCCAUACGUGAUAGUUGGUACAAUUCUUCUUCUUAUGACCUGCAAUUCCACAAAAGAAACAACCAUACUCAAUUUGUUCCUUAUGCUAUUUCUUUUGUGGUGCUGUGCCCGCAGCUUCCUUAUUAGUUUUCCUUUUUCUUUAUAUUUCAUUGAAGUAAGGUUUGCUAAAAGUGUACUAGUUUCAGCCUUUUCAUUUAUUGCAAGCCUCUUCUCAAGAUCCUUAAGGAUAACCUUAGCCGUGUUUAUUUCAUUAGAUAUAGUACCCCGAAGUGGUUCUGGAAUAUCAAGUUUCAUAGUCUCUUAGAUUUCAUUAGACUACUUAGAUUUCAUUAAUCUCACAGGGAGUACUUAGACUACUUAGCUAUCUGGUGAAGUAAGUUUGCAUGUUCAUUUUAUUAGUUAUUUAGCUUUUUACCUCUCAUUUUAGACAAUUUAUCAAUAAUUUUUGUUUGUCUUGAUCUCCAGAUGGUGAGAGAAAUGCUAAAAGAUGUGCGCAGAAGUGUACAAUUAAUGGGGGAUCCUGUGAUUCAGUUGAGGCAUAACCCGCGAUUUACCCCCUCUAAGGUUCCCCCUCUAAGGUUCUAGGGGCAUGAGUCUUAAAGGUCCAGGAUUUAGUUUGGUGUAAGUUGGGACACCUGGAUAUCAAAAAAUUAAAAAAAAAAUGCUAAAAGACAAAAGACUUCAUAUGAGGAUGUGAAUGCUGAUAUAUUAGGUUCAUCGACUCACAAACAUGCCAAGACCUGAUGGUGCCACUGUGAUGUCCUAUAUUGAUGAUCAAUGGGUGGAAUGAAACAGUAACUAAACACAUAUACAUUUGGUAUUCUGUCUUGUCAAAAACUGUUAUCUAUGUUUUCUUUUAGGAUUGUGUGUUUAAAUUGUUAGCUGGAAUACGGACAAUAUAUGCUAAUGUUGUUUAAUUUAUUCCUGGUUAAUGUGUCUUGAUAUAUAGCCCCUGUUUGAUCCCCAUUACGUAGAAAAAUUAAUGGGGGGAAUAGUAUUUUUUUUAAAAAAUGAGUAGUUGAAAAAGAAUGAAAAGUUUUCGAUUUACGUGUAAUAUUAUUUUAUGAAAGAUUGUGUGGUUGAAAAUAGGAGAGAGAAAAAUGAAAUGUAAAUGAAUUUAAUGUAAUGGGGCUCAAACGGGGGCACAGAUUUUGUAGACAG